CAUCGAGUCUUUGAACGCACAUUGCGCCCAUUGGUAUUCCAUUGGGCAUGUCUGUUUGAGCGUCAUUACAACCCUCGGUCACCACCGGUUUUGAGCGAGCAGGGUCUCAGGAUCCAGCUGGCUUUAAAGUUGUAAGCUCUGCUGGCUGCCCGGCCCAACCAGAACAUAGUAAAAUCAUGCUUGUUCAAGGUUCGCGGUCGAAGCGGUACGGCCUGAACAAUACCUACCACCUCUCAGGUUUGACCUCAGAUCAGACAAGGAUACCCGCUGAACUUAAGCAUAUCAAUAAGCGGAGGAAAAGAAACCAACAGGGAUUGCCUCAGUAACGGCGAGUGAAGCGACAAAAGCUCAAAUUUGAAAUCUGGAGCCUUCGGCUUCCGAGUUGUAAUUUGAAGAGGGUGUUUCGGUUGCAGCCUUGGCCUAAGUUCCUUGGAACAGGACGUCAUGGAGGGUGAGAAUCCCGUACAUGGCUGAAGGCUUGCUUCCAUGUGAAACCCCUUCGAAGAGUCGAGUUGUUUGGGAAUGCAGCUCAAAAUGGGUGGUAAAUUUCAUCUAAAGCUAAAUAUUGGCGGGAGACCGAUAGCGCACAAGUAGAGUGAUCGAAAGAUGAAAAGCACUUUGAAAAGAGAGUUAAACAGUACGUGAAAUUGUUGAAAGGGAAGCGCUUGCAAUCAGACUCGCUUUCGGUUGAUCAGCGACGCCUUCUGGCGCGUGCACUCUGCCGUUUGCGGGCCAGCAUCAGUUGGAGCGGUGGGACAAAGACGGCAGGAAUGUGGCUCCCCUCGGGGAGUGUUAUAGCCUGUCGUGCCAUGCCACCAGCA
Molecule: ribosomal RNA, 821 nt
Filed under: uncultured Orbiliaceae
Lineage: Eukaryota; Fungi; Ascomycota; Orbiliomycetes; Orbiliales
Description: eukaryotic LSU rRNA
Rfam family: Eukaryotic large subunit ribosomal RNA (bases 241-821)
Source: RNAcentral